AGCUUUGCAGAGUGGUGGUAUCAUAGUCAAUGAGCUUUAUCCAAGGUGUGAUUAUUGCUUCUUGAAAACCU
RNAcentral lists this small nuclear RNA (71 nucleotides) under Cervus elaphus hippelaphus. Lineage: Eukaryota; Metazoa; Chordata; Mammalia; Artiodactyla; Cervidae. The record is from RNAcentral.